ACGGGUGAGUAAUAUAUCGGAACGUGCCCAGUCGUGGGGGAUAACUGUUCGAAAGAGCAGCUAAUACCGCAUACGACCUGAGGGUGAAAGCGGGGGAUCGCAAGACCUCGCGCGAUUGGAGCGGCCGAUAUCAGAUUAGGUAGUUGGUGGGGUAAAAGCCCACCAAGCCAACGAUCUGUAGCUGGUCUGAGAGGACGACCAGCCACACUGGGACUGAGACACGGCCCAGACUCCUACGGGAGGCAGCAGUGGGGAAUUUUGGACAAUGGGCGCAAGCCUGAUCCAGCCAUGCCGCGUGCGGGAAGAAGGCCUUCGGGUUGUAAACCGCUUUUGUCAGGGAAGAAAAGGUUCUGGUUAAUACCUGGAACUCAUGACGGUACCUGAAGAAUAAGCACCGGCUAACUACGUGCCAGCAGCCGCGGUAAUACGUAGGGUGCAAGCGUUAAUCGGAAUUACUGGGCGUAAAGCGUGCGCAGGCGGUUAUGCAAGACAGAGGUGAAAUCCCCGGGCUCAACCUGGGAACUGCCUUUGUGACUGCAUAGCUAGAGUACGGUAGAGGGGGAUGGAAUUCCGCGUGUAGCAGUGAAAUGCGU
This 593-nucleotide ribosomal RNA is filed under the name Pelomonas sp. StTD325. RNAcentral's name for it is "bacterial SSU rRNA". It matches the Rfam family "Bacterial small subunit ribosomal RNA", at positions 102 to 691 of the family's 1533-position model. The record is from RNAcentral. Lineage: Bacteria; Pseudomonadati; Pseudomonadota; Betaproteobacteria; Burkholderiales; Sphaerotilaceae.